UGGAGGUUCCCAGGCUAGGGGUCUAAUCAGAGUUACAGCUGCCAGCCUACACCACAGCCACAGCAACGCAGGAUCUGAGCUGUCUGUGUCUGUGACCUACACCACAGUUCAUGGCAACGCCAGAGCCUUAACUCACUGAUUGAGGCCAGGGAUUGAACCCGAAACCUCAUGGUUCCUAGUUGGAUUUAUUUCUGCUCAGCCACAAUGGGAACUCCUCUUUGUCCUUUAUUAUUCAUUUUUUUCUGGACAAGGUGCUAAAACACCUUGGACCAAUUUGUAUACCUUUCUUAAAAUAGGAAUCAGUCAAAACACUACACUGUGGAGUUCCCCUCGUGGUUCAGUUGUUAACGAAUCUGACUAGCAUCCAUGAGGACGCAGGCUCGACCCCUGACCUUGUUCAGUGGGUUAAGGAUACGGUGUUGCCAUGAGCUGUGGUGUAGGUCACAGAUGUGGCUCGGAUUCUGCAUUGCUGUGGCUGUGGUGUAGGCCGGCGGCUACAGCUCCGAUUAGACCCCUAGCCUGGGAAUCUCCAUAUGCUGUGGGUUCGGCCCUAAAAAAAACAAAACAAACAAACAAAAAACCACUCAGGAACCUCCUGGGGGAUCAAGUAUGGGAAUUGACUGGGAAGUGAUGCAAGGAAACUUUCUGGGUUUGGUGAUGAUCUGUAUCUUGACAGAGGUUUGGGUUACAUGGUUUAGACAUUUGCCAAAACUCAUGAAAUGAUAUAUAAAAGAUUUGCGCAUUUCACUGUAUUUCAGCUUCAUCCAAAAAAGAGAAAACAUGUAUUGAACUCUAGUUAAUGAUAUUCAGGUUGAAGUGUUGAAAGAUGAAGUGUAAGAUGCCUACAACUUACUUUGAAAAAAAAGGAUGGAUUGAUAGGUGGAUAGAAGGGUGAAGAGGUUGAUAGUCCUAUAAUGCAGCAAACACAAUAUAAUGUUAAUGGUAGAAUGACAUGAGGUGAGUACAUGAGUACAUUUCUGUAUGCUUGAAAUUUUUCAUAAUAAAAUAUUGGAAAAGAAAGACCAGGAGUUCCCGUCGUGGCUCAGUCGUUAACAAAUCCAACUAGAAACCACGAGGUUGCAGGUUCGAUCCCUGGCUUUGCUCAGUGUGUUAGGGAUCCGGCCUUGUCAUGAGCUGUGGUGUAGGUUGCAGACAUGGCUUGGAUCUGGCAUUGCUGUGGCUGUGGCAUAGGCAGACAGCAAUAGCUCCGAUUAGACCCCUAGCCUGGGAACUUCUAUAUGCUGUGGAAGCGGCCCCAGAAAAGGCAAAAAGACAAAAAAAAAAAAAAAAAAAAAAAAAAAAAAAAAAAAAAGAAGAACGACCAAAAAACUUCUGACAACAACAAAAUAAGACUGAAGAAGUAUUGGUUUCUUAGGGCCACCAUAACAAACUACAACAAACAGGGUAACUUCUUCACAUGCUAGCUUGAGCCUGCAAGCAUGAGGGUUCCGUGAAUCAGGUGAUGGCCUUUUAUGUCCAGCCUUGGAAGUCACAGGGCAUUACUUCCUCUAGGCUGCAGGGGCCAAGUCAUCACCAGCCCAUCCAGAUUUAAGGGAAUAGGACAGAGAGAGCCCCCACCUCAAUGUGAGAGCCGUCUGAGAAUUUGCAGUCCUGUUUUAAAGCCAACACACCCAGCUAGAGGGACGUUAUCUGCCACCUAGCCUGUUGUCUCGUCCUCAGCAAGGAGAAGGAGAAAGAAGUUUCUCAUCUCCACAUUGACCAAGGGAAAAAUGAAGUCAGGUCCUCACUCAGAGCACACACUGCUCUGUGACCUGCUUUCCCCCCAAGGCAUCAAGGGCGUCCUCUGGUACAAGCCAGAGCUGGGAGAACCAACCGAUACCGGGUCACAUGGCACAUGGCGCUGGACACCUCUACAGCGGACUCUCCCCCUCCUUGCCCCAUCCCCGUCCCUGAGCUUUUGACUUUGGGUGUCCCACCCACCCUUCUACGCGGUCCUUCCCAUCACCACUCAGCCCAGACCUCCCGCCCUUGGUCUCGAGACAGAAUGAACUCUCUCGCUUGGGGACAAUGGAAGCCUUUGUCAUCUUUUCCUUCUUCGGGUGGCCCAGCGUCUGUAUGAGAAUCCAGAUUACCCUCUCAGGCUGUGCUGGCGAUUACCUCCAAGAAUCUCUUCACCCCACCCUCUCCUCGCAGGCUGGGGGUGAGUUGGGGCUGCACAAAGGGAAGAAUGUUAUCACGGUAAACCAGGACGGGCCCGGCUUGGCUCUGUUGCAGAAAACACACUUCACUCAUGCAGAACAUGCCAAAUUGAAAAGAUUGUGGGUUAAUCAAAUCCUUUUCUCCUCUGUUUUUAUCAAACUCAAGAGGGGCUGGCCUAUUAAUUAGAAACGCUUUUUCAUGUAAAACAUGGGCGCUUUGGAGAUAAGGAGGGAAGACCCUUGAUUCUACAGUCACAAUGAUGUUUCAGUUAUUUCAUUAUAAGCGCCAAGUUCACUGCUGGCCCCAUGCAUGCCGUGCAGACCUCCCAUCAUUCUCGUGGAAAAACUCCCUGAGACUCAGGAAGUUCACUGGCCAGCAGAUGAGGGCAAGAGAGUUUCUUUUUCUGAAGUCACAAUGCACUGAAGACCUCGCUUUUCUAUACGGUGCUACCAGAAAAAUUUAACAGGCUUUUAUUCUGUGUUAUCCAGUUACAGCCCUGCCAACUUCGUGGGGCUAUUUAAAUUUCAAUUAAUUACAAUGAAAAAUUCAAUUGCUCAGUCCACUAGCUGCAUUUCAAGUGCUCAGUAGCAGCAUUGGCUAGGGGCUUCUCCACCGGAUGACAGAGAUAGAGAAUAUUUCCGUCAUUACAGAAAGUUCUAUUGGGCAGCACUGCUUCUUUCAACAAGCUCACAAAGCAUCCCAUUUGUCUACUAGGAAAAACCAAAACCUACUAUAUUUCUGUAGUGACACUUGUUGGUUCUCCUUGCCCAGCACCUUGGCCUUGGUUCAAUUAUGUUGGCCCAAUAGAUGUAAACUCCAUGACUUUGACUGGAAUUGAUGGGAAGGGGGUGCCCUGCUGGGGAUAUAAACCAAGAACUGCAAGGGGCCAUCAUACUUUAUCCUAGAGAGAGUUGGCCUGCAAAUGACUUCAUUCCGGAAGAAAGCAGAGAGAAGGUUAAAGAGAGUCUAACUGUUGACAUGGUAGACCUCUUGGAUCCAACUGUGUUUGAUGGCAGAUCUAGCCCUAAACUUCUGAUCACAUGAAACUAUUAACACCUUGGUACUAAUGAUUCAUCCAAACCCUCUUCCAAAUUAUCAUGCUUAUGUCUAUUUGAACGGGUGCUGUCACAACCAAAAGUAUUCUGAUUUAUGUAUGUUCUGAGAAUGGUCAUCCAUAUACAAAGGGAAAGGAAGCUAUUUUUUCCUCUACUGACACAUUUCUAUCUCAAACAAUUAUUAAGAUCCGUUUCAUGUGAUAGAAGGGUAUCAGUCCCAGAUGAGCUUCCUGUUCCUACCUGGCUCCAGACAGGCCCUUUCUGGAUCAUGAAGCUCCCUGACCCAGGAGAACCAGUUCCAUAGGCUGAGGCUACACCAAGCUGAUUCCCUCUUUUUUAAGAAUUUGGAUGAAGUGGAAACAAAGAUUGAUUGAGUUGAUGAUGGAGUCAUAUCAGUGAGAGCACAAGACUGAAAGGCCAUGCACUGUGGCUGCUGAGAAACCUCAAGUUGUUCUGCUCUCACCCUGCCUGAGGCCCAUGUCCUUUUAAUAAACCACCUUUAACUUGAGCUAGUUCAAGUUUGUGUCUAUUUCUGACAACCAAAUAUGCCUGGUUAAGAGAGUAUCAAAAGCCUGCAAGGCCUUUUAUUUGGGCCAAGCAAUUCUAUUUCUAGGAAUUUACUGCUAGAAAAUAAUCAAAGUAUGUAUACAAAGAUUUAGCUGUGAGGCUAUUAAGGGCAGUGCUCUUUAUCUUUGUAAGAAGUUGGGAAGAACCUAUAUAUAAUGGGAAGUUUGGACAUCAUUUACGUUUGGCUUUAUAAGUUAUUUUAAUUGUUAUUGUUUUAUUGAAGUGUGGUUGAUCUACCAUGUUCCAGGUAUACAGCAAAAUGAUUCAGUUACACACACACACACACACACACACACACACACGCACACGCACACAUAUAUCUUUUUUCAGAUUCUUUUCCAUUAUAGGUUAUUACAAAAUACUGAAUAGGGGUUUCCAUUGUGGCUCAGUGGGUUAAGAACCUGACUAGUAUCCAUGAGGAUGCAGGUUCGAUCCCUGGCCUUGCUCAGUCGGCUAAGGAUCUGGCGUUGCCACAAACUGUGGUGUAGGUUGCAGACACAGCUCAGAUCCCACAUUGUCGUGGCUGUGUUAUAGACCAGCAGUUCCGAUUCAACCCCUAGCCUGGGAGCUUCCAUAGGCCUCUAGUGCUGCCCUAAAAAAGGAAAAUAAUACUAAACAGCAAAAUAAGUACCAGGGGGCUCUAAAAAUCUUGUAGUCCAUGUUUUGUUUUGUUUUAUUUUUUUCAGAGAAGGAUAAACAUUUAAAUUAUUUCAAACAUUUGGAGCAUCUGCUUUGCUGGAGCCUUACACAUGAACUACGUUUUUCCAUAAUGGUCGGGAGAAUGUUCCAGACAGGGAACAGCAAGUGCAAAGGCUCAGAGGCAGAGUGAGCAUAGCUUUUAGUCCUGUGAGUGGUGGAACCAUAGCCUGUGAGAGGAGAGUGUCCAGGUAUGGAGCUGGACAGGUCAGCAAGGCCCAGUUAAGAAGGGACUUGGAGGUCAUUUGAGGAGUUUCAACCUGAUUGUCAAGGCCAUGCAAAGUCAUUGAAAGGGUUUAAGCUGGGAAAUGACAUGUUACAGUAUUUUUUAAAAGACUUUCUUUCAGAGUUAACAAAAUGAGAUAUUAUUAGCCAGAGUGGCUAGGGAAAUUGCUUUAAAAAAAAACCCACAGGCACAAUUUUUAACUUGACAGUGUUUCGCAGACAUUCUGGAGCCUUUAAAAAAAAAAUUCAUUAUGCUGACACUAACUAUCAAACCCCAUUCCCUUGAGCUCAGCUGUGUUGUAGCUGAAAACUUGUUCUAUAUGUUUACACAGCACCCAAUUUUCCAAAUCUCUGCAAAUUUGCCCUUAACAGUAAAAUACUGGGUACAGACCAUCUACCCACUCCACCCCAAUUAUCCUCCUUGGUGUGUGCUGAUGCUGUGAUUGUUGUUAUGAUGGAAAAGAUUGGAGCCAUGUCUUAUUUAUAAGCCUCUCUGGAGGAACCCAUGGGAAUUUUAUCCUUU
Molecule: long non-coding RNA, 5226 nt
Filed under: Sus scrofa (pig)
Lineage: Eukaryota; Metazoa; Chordata; Mammalia; Artiodactyla; Suidae
Description: lncRNA (ENSSSCG00040005720.1)
Source: RNAcentral